CCAAAACUGUCAGAGACCACGACGUGGCAAGCAGUGCCACGACGUGGCAAGUCUCCUGACACCUCCGGGAGUCCCCCAGAUGCAACUUGCGAUGACGCAUGCAGUGACGACCAAGCCCACGACGUGGAAAAAGGUUGCCACGACGUGGCAAGGGCCAAAUUUGCCCUAUAAAUAGAUUUGAAGGGCCAGCCGAGUAUGGUUGCUCAUUCUCUCUUCUCUCUCUCCCGUUUUGCAUCGUUUUGCGUGCCAGAAAUAACCCGAAGCCCCGGUAUUAUUCUCUAGCCCUGAGGCAAGUCCCGAGAUCCCGAAGAUCCCGAAAAGUGCGGUUCCCGAGCCGAAGCUCUGCCCGCGAGAAGUUCGAUUUUUGUGGAGAUCUUCCAGAUCUGCUGAGGAUUACUACUUCUGCAAGUCGUAGUGCUGUCCGAUCAUCUUCUGAUCAAGUGAGUGUAUACUACCUUUCAUAAACACGAUAAUAAUACAAGUAUGGUUUGAGUGUAUUAAGUAUAUUGUUGUUUAUAUGUGUGAGUGUGUAGUUACUUUCUUCUAACACAUAAGUAUGAAGUAUUUGCUAUGAAAUACGUGCUAUGUGUUUAUAUAUUAUUGUUCUAUUUGAGAUGGGCGUGGAAUUGAUGUUUUACAUAAGUGUUAAAUGAUUUAAACUGUGUAAGUAUUUAUAUCUACGAAAAUGUUGGGUAGAACUUGGGUAGAUGGGAUAGUUGGUGACUAUGGAGUUAGCGCCUAUUGUAUAAACCUUGGCGACGAUGUGACUUCGUGCCUAUUUGAUGAACCUUGGCGACUAUGGAGUUAGCGCUUGUUGAGUAAACCUUGGCGACUAUGGAGUUAGCGCUUGUUGAGUAAACCUUGGCGACUAUGGAGUUAGCGCUUGUUAAGUGAACCUUGGUGACUAUGGAGUUAGCACCUGAUAACUAUGGAUUUAGUACUUGAUAAAUAAACUUUGGCAGUAAUGGAAUUCGUGCCAAUUCCUUACGAAUAAAUGAAUGAAGGAUAGUUGGUUCUUAGGGUAAAACCUUAAGAAGAUAAUGGGGAUGGGUAAUUGGGUUGAUUGUUUGCUGAUUAAAUAUAAUAAUUAUAUUAUUGUGGGUUGAAAACCCUAUAUGCUCACCAGGCUCCCAAGCCUGACCCACUCAGUUUUCUUUUCAUUACAGGUAAUGGCACAAGGGUAUAAGUUGGUGGACUUGACGAGAGAUUUUGGAUUAUAGAUCAGUAGUUAAAUAACUAUUGUAAGGUCUAUUUUAUAUUGUUUAUGCUUUUGGUCUGUAUCGAACAUGACAUCCCAAGGUUUUAUUAUUUAAUGAAAAUACAUUCUCUUUGAGAAAUGUUUGGAUAAAUGGUUAUCAUAUUUUUGUUUUUGGGAACAAAUUCCGCAACAGUUUUCUUUAAACGAUUACUCUGAUUUUAAAAAAAAAGCAUAAACAAAUCGGUCUUUUCUGGCCGUGAAAUUGGGGAUGUCACAGUUGGUAUCAGAGCAUUAGUUUAAGCGAACUAGGAAUAUGGAUUUAUUUCUAGACUUAAACUUAGAAUGCUAAGCAAUGAUUGUGAGUUGAGUGUGUCCAUUAUAUUUUAGGUAGUACACCUAAAUUGACACAGGCACUAGUUUAUUUUAGGAAAAUUGCCUAAAAUGCUAUUAUGUGCUAAUUGUUAUAUGUUUGCCAUAUAUGAUGUUAAUUGUUCGGAUCUAUGGUCUGUUGCCGACCGGAUCUGGAAACCUUAUGUGUUUAGGAUUCUAAGCGUACGUCUACGAUAUUAGAACUAGCAUGUAAACGUUUCGGAGUGAUAAGGAUGAUUUGAAUAUCUAUUUUGAAUAAGGAUCUAAUUUCACCUUAUUGGGUGUGUAGAUCAAAAAUGGUGAGAACAAGAAGUGGAGUUGGAAAUGCUGAUGAAAACAGGAAUCAACCACCAGUGAUUGAGCAAAUACCUAUCGUAGCAGCAGCACCUGAGCUGAUAACAAUGGUUGGUGUACAAUUGAUGAUUCAAACGAUUUUGGAUCGUCAAAUAGAGGAGACUAGACGGUUGAUUCAACAUAAUCGUGAAGAACUGUCAAUUCAAGUGGAAGAGCCCGAAUUAAAUGAAGGGCACUCGGAAGGUGGAAACUUCAGUGGAUCGGUUGGUCAAGCCAACCCACCGAUAGUUAGGCAAAACAACCAUGAUGGAAGGAAUGAUGGAAUGGGAUGCAAGUACAAGGACUUUCUAACUUGCAAACCAUCGACCUUCACUGGAAAGGAGGAUCCGAUCGGAGUGAUGGAUUGGAUCUCCGAAAUGGAGUUAGCCUUCAUGACUUGUGGCUGCAGAGGCAAGUUGCAGACUACCUAUGCAGUGCGUCAGUUCCGAGGUGGAGCCGUUCAUUGGUGGAACACUCUAGGGAAGACUUUAAGCCCUAAUGAGCCACUGCAAUUGUCAUGGGCAGAGUUCUUGGCGCAGUUCAAGCACAAGUUCUACUCGGCUCAAAAUCUGUUGGAAUUGGAGAAUAAGUUUCUGACAUUGACGAAAGGCAGCAUGUCAGUUGAUGAAUACACUAAUAACUUUACAGACAAGAUGGAUUUUGCUUUGCGCAUCGUUCUAGAUGAGCUGGCAAAGGUUGACCGGUACGCAAAGGGACUCUCAUGGGAGUAUGCAGUGCCAGUUUGUCAGGCGCCUAGUCUAGAGGCAGCUAUCUGGGCUGCUAAGUCUGUUGAAGAUAUGAUUAAGGGAAGAACCGCCAGAAAGGUUGAAGUUGGCGAGAAAAGAAAGAUUAAAGGAUCUUCAAGGUCCGAUGAGAAGAGAAAAUUUUCGAAGUCUGAUGCGAAGAAGCUCGAAGAAGGAGCACAAUGGUGUGACAAGUGCAAAAGGAAGCACAUUGGGGAAUGCUCUAAAGAAAUGAAAUGUUUCAAAUGCGGGAAGACAGGUCAUUACGCCAGCAAAUGCCCAAACAAAAGAGAAGCCUGCUUCAAGUGUGGUGAAGAAGGACACUUCAAACAAAACUGCCCAGGAAGGGAAGAAAUUACAAAGCCAAAUGUGCCGCCAAGGCCAAAGGCAAGAGCAUUUCAAAUGAUCCUUGAUGAAGCAGAUGGCAAUGCAAGGAAUCAGGAAUGAGGAUUUUAUAUCCAAAGAUCAAGUUAUAAAGUAGCGAUAUGAAAAGUAACAUGUGGUGUAGCCUAUUAGAGGCAUAGUAUAGGGUGAACNCUGAACUUGAAAUUUUGUGUAAUCAUUUCAAGGAAUUAAUAUAAACCCUAGUUUUACUAACUGAUGUGUUGAAUGAUUGUCUGAUUUUCUUGUAUGGUGAAUUGGUCGACUGCGGGACAAUACUUGGGACAAGUAUGAGUAGGUGUGAAAGGUAGUAGAUGCAUAUACUACCGGAAGCACAGGACUCGCAUUUGGAUCAGGGAAAAGUCACAAGGUUACCAAGAAGCUAGUAAUUGAUUUCGUUUUGUUCAAAUGUGUCAUUACCCUUGUUUCGGUAGUGACUAGUAAGAUGAUUGUUAAUCCGACCCUAGUGGUCAUAUUCAAAUUGAGUCCGACUACGGUGAGUAUGUUACGUGGUUCAAAGAACCAAGUUCGAAGUAACACUGGACGUAAGUCAGAGAUUGAAGUUAAUGCGAUCAUUGGUAUCGCACUCGUUGUUCAUAAAGUUUGUAGCUAGAAAUGCUACAUGCUGGAAUGUGAUUAUAUCACAUUAGAAUAUGAAGGAAGGUAUAUUCCAUUCUGGAAUUUAACUUUAAAAAGACCGAUUCUAAGUGUUGCAUUGUGCGAUGAGAGGUCAAUAGAGCACGACCUAUCGAUCUGUUACAAUAGAUAAAGGAAAGUAUUUAUACUAAAAAGAAGAAGGAGUCCACAAUAAGGACUUAUUUGGUAACUCGAAGGUUACGAUCGAAAGUACAACAUAGUACGAUAAGCAGAUGCAAGAUUGGGCAUCGUCUGCGGUCAAGAAAGCCAUAGAGUUAAAUACUCUAUCGAGGAAAACAUAGAAGUUACGGUUAUUACCUAGGAUGAAGAGAUAANAGAAGUUACGGUUAUUACCUAGGAUGAAUAAAUAACGUGUGGAAUCAUUAUGCAAGUCCUAUUUCGUUGAUGAUUCCGGGACGUAAUCAUCCUAAGGGGGAGAUAAUUGUAACGCCCGUAGAUCCGGGCUAGUCAAAUUAGAGACGAUAAGCAUCAAACAUGACUUUUUGAUGGAAGAUUAUUUAGAAGGAUUAAUCUUGACCAAGUUUUAGUAUAUGUCACAAGGUUUCCGUGCAUAUAAAGAACGCCAAAAUCCGAGUUAUAACGAAGAAGUUAUGACCUGUCGAAGUUUCGCGACAGAACCGGCACGACCUAGCACGACCCAGCGCGACGUAAAUAGUGAAUUUAAGGUAGAUAGAUAUCUAUCCUUAGUGAUCUAAACAAGAUUCGAAGAUUUCUUCGAUAGUAGUCCAACGAUAAAAAGACAGACGAAAACGGAGUUCAGAUGAAGGAGUUAUGAAUUUCGAACGGAGUUUUCCUGUCCCGGCCUACUAAAGAUAAUAUAUAAGUAAUAUACUUAUAAUAUAUUAAAAAUAAAGUCAAAAUUAGCCAAUGGAGUCUAAACGAGAGUUGUAGAGCAUAAUCUCACCUUCGCGGCGAUAUAAAGAACGUCGAAAACGGAGUUCGUAUGCGAAAGUUAUGAAUUUCUGAAGUUCGGGGCGCGAAACCCCAAAACUGUCAGAGACCACGACGUGGCAAGUCUCCUGACACCUCCGGGAGUCCCCCAGAUGCAACUUGGGAUGACGCAUGCAGUGACGACCAAGCCCACGACGUGGCAAAAGGUUCCACGACGUGGAAAGGGCCAGUUUUGCCCUAUAAAUAGAUUUGAAGGGCCAGCCGAGUUUGGUUGCUCAUUCUCUCAUCUCUCUCCCAUAUUACAUCGAUUUACGUGCAAAGAAGUACCCCCGAAGCCCCGGUAUCAACCCCGAGACCCGAAGCAAGUCCCGAAGCCCGAAGAUCCCGAGAAGAAAAGAGUUUCCGAGCCGAAGCUCUGCCCGCGAGAAACCCGGUGUGUGAAGUGAUCCCGGUUUCACCGAAGAAUACUACUUCUACAAGCCGUAGUGCUGUCCGAUCAUCUUCUGAUCAAGUGAGUGUAUACUACCUUUCAUAAACACGAUAAUAAUACAAGUAUGGUUUGAGUGUAUUAAGUAUAUUGUUGUUUAUAUGUGUGAGUGUGUGGUUACUUUCUUCUAACACAUAAGUAUGAAGUAUUUGCUACGAAAUACGUGCUAUGUGUUUAUAUAUUGUUGUUUAUUUGAGGUAUUGGUGGAAUGGAUGAACUAUAUAGAUUUUAAUGAGUUAAACUAUAUAUGUAAUUUAUAUCUACAAAUAUGUUGGGUAGGACAUGGGUAGAUGAGAUCCGUGAGUAUGGAUCAGAUCAAGAGGUUAGUUUUAGAUCCGUGAGUAGGGAUCAGAUCAAGAGGUUAGUUUUAGAUCCGUGAGUAGGGAUC
RNAcentral lists this long non-coding RNA (5447 nucleotides) under Lactuca sativa (garden lettuce). RNAcentral describes it as "long non-coding RNA (LSAT_LNC003705)". The record is from RNAcentral. Lineage: Eukaryota; Viridiplantae; Streptophyta; Magnoliopsida; Asterales; Asteraceae.